GCAGACCGGCCUCGACAGGUCAGCACGGCGAUGAACGCCGCAGCGCAGCUUGUCUCGGAAGCGGCAGAAGCUGGGGCGCAGACCGGCCUCGACAGGUCAGCACGGCGAUGAACGCCGCAGCGCAGCUUGUCUCGGAAGCUGCAGAAGCUGGGGCGCAGACCGGCCUCGACAGGUCAGCACGGCGAUGAACGCCGCAGCGCAGCUUGUCUCGGAAGCGGCAGAAGCUGGGGCACAGACCGGCUUCGACAGGUCAGCACGGCGAUGAACGCCGCAGCGCAGCUUGUCUCGGAAGCGGCAAAAGCUGGGGCACACGCCGGCUUCGACAGGUCAGCACGGCGAUGAACGCCGCUGCGCCGCUUGUCUC
This 364-nucleotide long non-coding RNA is filed under the name Dermacentor andersoni. Its description in RNAcentral is "uncharacterized LOC126543032". Lineage: Eukaryota; Metazoa; Arthropoda; Arachnida; Ixodida; Ixodidae. The record is from RNAcentral.